AGCGGAGAUAUAUGGAGCUUGCUUUAUAUAACUUAGCAGCGAACGGGUGAGUAACACGUAGAUAAUCUAUCCUAUACUGGGGGAUAGCCCGAUGAAAGUUGGAUUAAUACCGCAUAUAGCUAUAUAGUUGCAUGAUUAUGUAGUGAAAGAUUUAUUGGUAUAGGAGGAGUCUGCGGCACAUUAGCUAGUAGGUGAGGUAAAGGCUUACCUAGGCGACGAUGUGUAGCCGGUCUGAGAGGAUGAACGGCCACAAUGGAACUGAGACACGGUCCAUACUCCUACGGGAGGCAGCAGUGGGGAAUAUUGCACAAUGGGGGAAACCCUGAUGCAGCAACGCCGCGUGAGUGAAGAAGGUUUUCGGAUUGUAAAGCUCUGUUAGCAGGGAAGAGGAAGGACGGUACCUGCAGAGGAAGCCACGGCUAACUACGUGCCAGCAGCCGCGGUAAUACGUAGGUGGCAAGCGUUGUUCGGAAUAACUGGGCGUAAAGGAUGCGUAGGCGGUUAAACAAGUUAUAUGUUAAAUAUAUAGGCUUAACCUGUAGAAAGCAUAUAAAACUGUUUAACUAGAGUGCAGGAGAGGUAAGUGGAAUUCCUAGUGUAGCGGUGAAAUGCGUAGAGAUUAGGAAGAACACCAGUGGCGAAGGCGACUUACUGGACUGUAACUGACGCUGAGGCAUGAGAGCAUGGGGAGCAAACAGGAUUAGAUACCCUGGUAGUCCAUGCUGUAAACGAUGGGUACUAGGUGUGGGUUGUGAAUAACAAUUCGUGC
This 769-nucleotide ribosomal RNA is filed under the name uncultured bacterium. Its description in RNAcentral is "bacterial SSU rRNA". It matches the Rfam family "Bacterial small subunit ribosomal RNA", at positions 65 to 846 of the family's 1533-position model. The record is from RNAcentral.